RNAcentral lists this ribosomal RNA (253 nucleotides) under uncultured bacterium. RNAcentral's name for it is "partial 16S ribosomal RNA". It matches the Rfam family "Bacterial small subunit ribosomal RNA", at positions 524 to 776 of the family's 1533-position model. The record is from RNAcentral.
UACGUAGGGUCCGAGCGUUGUCCGGAAUUAUUGGGCGUAAAGGGUGCGUAGGCGGGUCUUUAAGUCAGGGGUGAAAUCCUGGAGCUCAACUCCAGAACUGCCUUUGAUACUGAAGAUCUUGAGUUCGGGAGAGGUGAGUGGAACUGCGAGUGUAGAGGUGAAAUUCGUAGAUAUUCGCAAGAACACCAGCGGCGAAGGCGGCGUCCUGGACUGGGCCUGACGCUCAGGAGCGAAAGCGUGGGGAGCGAUCCGG